GACCGUAUACAAGUCUCCUGGGAUGGAGCAUCAUAGAGGGUGAGAAUCCCGUCUUUGAUACAGACUACCAGUGCAUUGUGGUAUGCUCUCAACGAGUCGAGUUGUUUGGGAAUGCAGCUCAAAAUGGGUGGUAAAUUCCAUCUAAAGCUAAAUAUUGGCGAGAGACCGAUAGCGAACAAGUACCGUGAGGGAAAGAUGAAAAGAACUUUGGAAAGAGAGUUAAACAGUACGUGAAAUUGCUGAAAGGGAAACGCUUGAAGUCAGUCACGUCUGCUGGGAAUCAGCCUCGCUUCUGCGUGGUGUACUUUCUGGUAUGACGGGUCAGCAUCAGUUUUGACCACUGGAAAAAGGUGUGGGGAAUGUGACAGCUCCGGCUGUGUUAUAGCCUCAUAUUGUAUACAGUGGUUGGGACUGAGGAACGCAGCACGCCGAAAGGCCGGGUCUUUGACCACGUUCGUGCUUAGGAUGCUGGCAUAAUGGCUUUAAGCGACCCGUCUUGAAACACGGACCAAGGAGUCUAACAUGCCUGCGAGUGUUUGGGUGGAAAACUCGAGCGCGUAAUGAAAGUGAAAGUUGAGAUCCCUGUCGUGGGGAGCAUCGACGCCCGGACCAGAACUUUUGGGACGGAUCCGCGGUAGAGCAUGUAUGUUGGGACCCGAAAGAUGGUGAACUAUGCCUGAAUAGGGUGAAGCCAGAGGAAACUCUGGUGGAGGCUCGUAGCGGUUCUGACGUGCAAAUCGAUCGU
RNAcentral lists this ribosomal RNA (745 nucleotides) under Micropsalliota bifida. RNAcentral's name for it is "eukaryotic LSU rRNA". It matches the Rfam family "Eukaryotic large subunit ribosomal RNA", at positions 173 to 905 of the family's 3401-position model. Lineage: Eukaryota; Fungi; Basidiomycota; Agaricomycetes; Agaricales; Agaricaceae. The record is from RNAcentral.